UACAGAGGAUGCAAGCGUUAUCCGGAAUGAUUGGGCGUAAAGCGUCUGUAGGUGGCUUUUUAAGUCCGCCGUCAAAUCCCAGGGCUCAACUCUGGACAGGCGGUGGAAACUACCAAGCUGGAGUACGGUAGGGGCAGAGGGAAUUUCCGGUGGAGCGGUGAAAUGCGUAGAGAUCGGGAGGAACACCAGUGGCGAAGGCGGCUACCUGGACCAGCACUGACACUGAAGCACGAAAGCGUGGGGAGCAAACAGG
Molecule: ribosomal RNA, 253 nt
Filed under: uncultured bacterium
Lineage: Bacteria
Description: partial 16S ribosomal RNA
Rfam family: Bacterial small subunit ribosomal RNA
Source: RNAcentral